CAAUCAAUCUAACACAAUUAGUAAAGUGCUUUCUAUGCGAAAAGCAAUAGAUCUUUGCUGGUAAUUAUUCUCUCCAUUUUUAUACGAUUUUAGAAUUUGAAAGCAUUUUCCCAGAGUUGACGCCAAGAGAGCUAUAUUCCAAAACUUGGACCCAUGCUGACUCAUUGCCUAACUGCACAUUUUCCUGGUAACCAGGCGGAUGAUGUGCUAAUGCAAAUUGGCAGACUUGGACUGAAACUCCAAAAAUUGGAUCUGCCACGUGGAAGAACAAAAGGACAAAAGAGACUUCAAGGCUUCCCUUUUGCUUUGGGUUUCCAUUUCUGUUGCAAUGGUAGACAGUAAGUGCUCAACAAGGAUGUGGUAUUCAGGGGUGCCCUAUGGUGACCAUUAAGAUUUUAAAACACUGUGAGCAGUGGUUCUUUUCAUUUAAAAUAAAU
RNAcentral lists this long non-coding RNA (437 nucleotides) under Sus scrofa (pig). RNAcentral describes it as "lncRNA (ENSSSCG00035077880.1, ENSSSCG00055005267.1, ENSSSCG00065007976.1)". Lineage: Eukaryota; Metazoa; Chordata; Mammalia; Artiodactyla; Suidae. The record is from RNAcentral.